RNAcentral lists this ribosomal RNA (770 nucleotides) under uncultured bacterium. RNAcentral describes it as "bacterial SSU rRNA". It matches the Rfam family "Bacterial small subunit ribosomal RNA", at positions 29 to 794 of the family's 1533-position model. The record is from RNAcentral.
UAUAACGCUGGCGGCAGGCUACACAUGCAAGUCGAGCGGUAGCACAGAGAGCUUGCUCUCGGGUGACGAGCGGCGGACGGGUGAGUAAUGUCUGGGAAACUGCCUGAUGGAGGGGGAUAACUACUGGAAACGGUAGCUAAUACCGCAUAACGUCGCAAGACCAAAGUGGGGGACCUUCGGGCCUCAUGCCAUCAGAUGUGCCCAGAUGGGAUUAGCUAGUAGGUGGGGUAACGGCUCACCUAGGCGACGAUCCCUAGCUGGUCUGAGAGGAUGACCAGCCACACUGGAACUGAGACACGGUCCAGACUCCUACGGGAGGCAGCAGUGGGGAAUAUUGCACAAUGGGCGCAAGCCUGAUGCAGCCAUGCCGCGUGUGUGAAGAAGGCCUUCGGGUUGUAAAGCACUUUCAGCGGGGAGGAAGGCGGUGAGGUUAAUAACCUCAUCGAUUGACGUUACCCGCAGAAGAAGCACCGGCUAACUCCGUGCCAGCAGCCGCGGUAAUACGGAGGGUGCAAGCGUUAAUCGGAAUUACUGGGCGUAAAGCGCACGCAGGCGGUCUGUCAAGUCGGAUGUGAAAUCCCCGGGCUCAACCUGGGGAACUGCAUUCGAAACUGGCAGGCUAGAGUCUUGUAGAGGGGGGUAGAACUCCAGGUGUAGCGGUGAAAUGCGUAGAGAUCUGGAGGAAUACCGGUGGCGAAGGCGGCCCCCUGGACAAAGACUGACGCUCAGGUGCGAAGCGUGGGAGCAAACAGGAUUAGAUACCCUGUAGU